GCGACUUUAGCUCAGUUGGGAGAGCGUCAGACUGAAGUCCUCAACUCAGUCACUAAAUCUGAAGGUCUUGUGUUCAAUCCACAAAAGUCGCA
Non-coding RNA from Terfezia boudieri ATCC MYA-4762, 92 nucleotides. NCBI's taxonomy places the organism in Eukaryota, Fungi, Ascomycota, Pezizomycetes, Pezizales, Pezizaceae. The record is from the annotation of a GenBank genome assembly.